GACGAACGCUGGCGGCGUGCCUAAUACAUGCAAGUUGAGCGCUGAAGGUUGGUACUUGUACCAACUGGAUGAGCAGCGAACGGGUGAGUAACGCGUGGGGAAUCUGCCUUUGAGCGGGAGACAACAUUUGGAAACGAAUGCUAAUACCGCAUAAAAACUUUAAACACAAGUUUUAAGUUUGAAAGAUGCAAUUGCAUCACUCAAAGAUGAUCCCGCGUUGUAUUAGCUAGUUGGUGAGGUAAAGGCUCACCAAGGCGAUGAUACAUAGCCGACCUGAGAGGGUGAUCGGCCACAUUGGGACUGAGACACGGCCCAAACUCCUACGGGAGGCAGCAGUAGGGAAUCUUCGGCAAUGGACGAAAGUCUGACCGAGCAACGCCGCGUGAGUGAAGAAGGUUUUCGGAUCGUAAAACUCUGUUGGUAGAGAAGAACGUUGGUGAGAGUGGAAAGCUCAUCAAGUGACGGUAACUACCCAGAAAGGGACGGCUAACUACGU
RNAcentral lists this ribosomal RNA (496 nucleotides) under uncultured bacterium. RNAcentral's name for it is "partial 16S ribosomal RNA". It matches the Rfam family "Bacterial small subunit ribosomal RNA", at positions 28 to 506 of the family's 1533-position model. The record is from RNAcentral.